GACGAACGCUGGCGGCGUGCUUAACACAUGCAAGUCGAACGGAAAGGCCCUGCUUUUGUGGGGUGCUCGAGUGGCGAACGGGUGAGUAACACGUGAGUAACCUGCCCUUGACUUUGGGAUAACUUCAGGAAACUGGGGCUAAUACCGGAUAGGAGCUCCUGCUGCAUGGUGGUGGUUGGAAAGUUUCGGCGGUUGGGGAUGGACUCGCGGCUUAUCAGCUUGUUGGUUGGGUAGUGGCUUACCAAGGCUUUGACGGGUAGCCGGCCUGAGAGGGUGAACGGCGAAAUGGGGACGGAGAUACGGACCAGAAGAGAACGGGAGGCAGCAGUGGGGAAUAUUGCACAAUGGGAGGAAGCGGGAUGAAGAAAAGCCGCGUGCGGGAUGACGGCAUUCGGGUUGUAAACAGCUGUAGACUGUGACGAAGCGUGAGUGACGGUAAUGGGUAAAGAAGCACCGGCUAACUACGUG
RNAcentral lists this ribosomal RNA (468 nucleotides) under uncultured bacterium. RNAcentral's name for it is "partial 16S ribosomal RNA". It matches the Rfam family "Bacterial small subunit ribosomal RNA", at positions 28 to 507 of the family's 1533-position model. The record is from RNAcentral.